This 469-nucleotide ribosomal RNA is filed under the name uncultured bacterium. RNAcentral describes it as "partial 16S ribosomal RNA". It matches the Rfam family "Bacterial small subunit ribosomal RNA", at positions 28 to 507 of the family's 1533-position model. The record is from RNAcentral.
GACGAACGCUGGCGGCGUGCUUAACACAUGCAAGUCGAACGGAAAGGCCCUGCUUUUGUGGGGUGCUCGAGUGGCGAACGGGUGAGUAACACGUGAGUAACCUGCCCUUGACUUUGGGAUAACUUCAGGAAACUGGGGCUAAUACCGGAUAGGAGCUCCUGCUGCAUGGUGGGGGUUGGAAAGUUUCGGCGGUUGGGGAUGGACUCGCGGCUUAUCAGCUUGUUGGUGGGGUAGUGGCUUACCAAGGCUUUGACGGGUAGCCGGCCUGAGAGGGUGACCGGCCACAAUGGGACUUGAGAUACGGCCCAGACUCCUACGGGAGGCAGCAGUGGGGAAUAUUGCACAAUGGGCGGAAGCCUGAUGCAGCAACGCCGCGUGCGGGAUGACGGCCUUCGGGUUGUAAACCGCUUUCGCCUGUGACGAAGCGUGAGUGACGGUAAUGGGUAAAGAAGCACCGGCUAACUACGUG